Molecule: ribosomal RNA, 496 nt
Filed under: uncultured bacterium
Lineage: Bacteria
Description: partial 16S ribosomal RNA
Rfam family: Bacterial small subunit ribosomal RNA
Source: RNAcentral
AUGAACGCUGGCGGCGUGCCUAAUACAUGCAAGUCGAGCGAACGGACGAGAAGCUUGCUUCUCUGAUGUUAGCGGCGGACGGGUGAGUAACACGUGGAUAACCUACCUAUAAGACUGGGAUAACUUCGGGAAACCGUAGCUAAUACCGGAUAAUAUUUUGAACCGCAUGGUUCAAAAGUGAAAGACGGUCUUGCUGUCACUUAUAGAUGGAUCCGCGCUGCAUUAGCUAGUCGGUAAGGUAACGGCUUACCAAGGCAACGAUGCAUAGCCGACCUGAGAGGGUGAUCGGCCACACUGGAACUGAGACACGGUCCAGACUCCUACGGGAGGCAGCAGUAGGGAAUCUUCCGCAAUGGGCGAAAGCCUGACGGAGCAACGCCGCGUGAGUGAUGAAGGUCUUCGGAUCGUAAAACUCUGUUAUUAGGGAAGAACAUAUGUGUAAGUAACUGUGCACAUCUUGACGGUACCUAAUCAGAAAGCCACGGCUAACUACGUG